GAUGAACGCUGGCGGCGUGCUUAAUACAUGCAAGUCGAGCGAAAGGACGAGAAGCUUGCUUCUCUGAUGUUAGCGGCGGACGGGUGAGUAACACGUGGAUAACCUACCUAUAAGACUGGGAUAACUUGGGGAAACCGGAGCUAACAGCGGAUAAUAUUUUGAACCGCAUGGUUCAUAAGUGAAAUACGGUGUUGGUGUAACUAAUAGAUGGAUCUCGGCUGCAUUAGCUGGUUGGUAAGGUAACGGCUUACCAAGGCAACGAUGCGUAGACGACGGCAGAGAGGGGUCGGCCGCCCUGGAACUGAGACAGCGUCAAGACUACUACGGGAGGCAGCAGUAGCGAAUCGGCCGCAGUGGGCGAGAGCCUGACGGAGCAGCGGGGAGUCUGUGGUGAAAGUCUUCGGAUCGUAAAACUCUGUUAUUAGGGAAGAACCGAUGUGUCAGUAACCGUGGACAGCGUGACGGUACCUAAUAAGGAAGCACCGGCUAACUACGUG
RNAcentral lists this ribosomal RNA (497 nucleotides) under uncultured bacterium. RNAcentral's name for it is "partial 16S ribosomal RNA". It matches the Rfam family "Bacterial small subunit ribosomal RNA", at positions 28 to 507 of the family's 1533-position model. The record is from RNAcentral.